UCGGAUUGAAGGCUGAAAUUCGCCUUCAUGAAGCCGGAAUUGCUAGUAAUGGCAGGUCAGCAUACUGCCGUGAAUACGUUCCCGGGCCUUGUACACACCGCCCGUCACACCAUGAGAGUUGGGGAUACCCGAAGCCUGUGAGCUAACUUUUAGAGGCAGCAGUCGAAGGUAGAAUCAAUGAUUGGGGUGAAGUCGUAACAAGGUAGC
This 207-nucleotide ribosomal RNA is filed under the name uncultured bacterium. RNAcentral describes it as "partial 16S ribosomal RNA". It matches the Rfam family "Bacterial small subunit ribosomal RNA", at positions 1293 to 1500 of the family's 1533-position model. The record is from RNAcentral.